RNAcentral lists this ribosomal RNA (2883 nucleotides) under Clostridioides difficile M120. Its description in RNAcentral is "bacterial LSU rRNA". It matches the Rfam family "Bacterial large subunit ribosomal RNA". The record is from RNAcentral. Lineage: Bacteria; Bacillati; Bacillota; Clostridia; Peptostreptococcales; Peptostreptococcaceae.
AGGGUGCAGGGCGGAUGCCUUGGCACUAGGAGCCGAUGAAGGACGUGAUAAGCUGCGAUAAGCUUCGGGGAGUUGCACGUAAACUUUGAUCCGAAGAUUUCCGAAUGAGGAAACUCACUUAGAGUAAUGUCUAAGUAUCAUUAAGUGAAUACAUAGCUUAAUGAGGGGAACUCAGGGAACUGAAACAUCUAAGUACCUGAAGGAAGAGAAAGAAAUUCGAUUCCGUAAGUAGCGGCGAGCGAACGCGGAUUAGCCCAAACCAAUAAAGUUUUCUUUAUUGGGGUUGCGGACAUAUCAUAACGAAGAGGUAUCGUAAUUGAAGAGGUUUGGAAAGACCCACCACAGAAGGUAAUAGUCCUGUAUGUUAAACGAGAAGACUUCAGAUAUGAUCCAGAGUACCACGGGACACGUGAAACCCUGUGGGAAGCAGGAGGGACCACCCUCCAAGGCUAAAUACUACCUAGUGACCGAUAGCGUAUAGUACCGUGAGGGAAAGGUGAAAAGAACCCCGGGAGGGGAGUGAAAUAGAACCUGAAACCCUGCACUUACAAGCUGUGGAAGCACAUUUCUUGUGUGACCGCGUACUUUUUGUAGAACGGGCCAACGAGUUACGUUAAGUAGCAAGGUUAAGCACUUAAGGUGUGGAGCCGUAGCGAAAGCGAGUUUUAACUGAGCGUUCAGUUACUUGACGUAGACCCGAAACCGGGCGACCUACCCAUGAGCAGGAUGAAGCGAAAGUAAAAUUUCGUGGAGGUCCGAACCCACGAGCGUUGAAAAGCUCGGGGAUGACUUGUGGGUAGCGGUGAAAUUCCAAUCGAGCCCGGAGAUAGCUGGUUCUCCCCGAAAUAGCUUUAGGGCUAGCCUCAAGGUGAGAGAUACGGAGGUAGAGCACUGAAUGUCCUAGGGGGUAUUGCACCUACCGAAGACUAUCAAACUCCGAAUGCCGUCAUCUUAUACUUGGGAGUCAGACUGUGGGUGAUAAGAUUCAUAGUCGAAAGGGCAACAGCCCAGAUCGUCAGCUAAGGUCCCUAAAUGUAAGUUAAGUGGUAAAGGAUGUGGGAUUGCACAGACAACCAGGAUGUUGGCUUAGAAGCAGCCACUCAUUCAAAGAGUGCGUAAUAGCUCACUGGUCGAGUGAUCCUGCGCCGAAGAUUUCCGGGGCUAAAACUUACUACCGAAGCUACGGCAUCAGUAAUGAUGGGUAGGGGAGCUUCCCAUACGGGUUGAAGCAUGACCGUAAGGACAUGUGGACAGUAUGGGAGUGAGAAUGUUGGCAUGAGUAGCGAGAUGUGGGUGAGAAUCCCACAGGCCGUAAACCCAAGGUUUCCAGGGGAAGGUUCGUCCGCCCUGGGUUAGUCGGGACCUAAGCUGAGGCCGAAAGGCGUAGGUGAUGGACAACAGGUUGAUAUUCCUGUACUACCGAUAACCGUUUGAGAGAAGGGAUGACACAGUAGGAUAAGCUAAGCACACUGUUGGUUAUGUGUGCCCAAGCAUUGAGGCAGUCAAAGUAGGCAAAUCCGCUUUGAUAAUGCUGGGAUGUGAUGGGGAGCGAAAUUUAGUAGCGAAGUAGCUGAUUUCACACUGUCAAGAAAAGUCUCUAUCGAGGUUAAAGGUACCCGUACCGCAAACCGACACAGGUGGGUGAGGAGAGUAUCCUAAGGCCAGCGAGAGAACUGUUGUUAAGGAACUCGGCAAAAUGACCCCGUAACUUAGGGAUAAGGGGUGCCACCAUCAGGUGGCCGCAGAGAAUAGGCCCAAGCGACUGUUUACCAAAAACAUAGGUUUCUGCUAAGUCGCAAGACGAUGUAUAGGAGCUGACGCCUGCCCGGUGCUGGAAGGUUAAGGGGAUCUGUUAGAGCAAUCGAAGCAGUGAACUUAAGCCCCAGUAAACGGCGGCCGUAACUAUAACGGUCCUAAGGUAGCGAAAUUCCUUGUCGGGUAAGUUCCGACCCGCACGAAAGGCGUAACGAUUUGAGCACUGUCUCAACAACAGACUCGGUGAAAUUGUAAUUCCGGUGAAGAUGCCGGAUACCUGCGACAGGACGGAAAGACCCCAUGGAGCUUUACUGUAGCUUGACAUUGGGUCUUGGUACUACAUGUACAGGAUAGGUGGGAGGCUUUGAAACCAGGACGCCAGUUUUGGCGGAGCCAUCCUUGGGAUACCACCCUUGUAGUACUGGGACUCUAACCAUAGGCCAUGAAUCUGGUCUUGGGACACUGUCAGGUGGGCAGUUUGACUGGGGCGGUCGCCUCCCAAAAGGUAACGGAGGCGCUCAAAGGUUCUCUCAGUACGGUCGGAAAUCGUACGUAGAGUGUAAAGGCAAAAGAGAGCUUGAUUGCAAGACAUACAGGUCGAGCAAGGAUGAAAAUCGGACUUAGUGAUCCGGUGGUUCUGCGUGGAAGGGCCAUCGCUCAACGGAUAAAAGCUACCCUGGGGAUAACAGGCUUAUCUCCCCCAAGAGUCCACAUCGACGGGGAGGUUUGGCACCUCGAUGUCGGCUCAUCACAUCCUGGGGCUGUAGUAGGUCCCAAGGGUUGGGCUGUUCGCCCAUUAAAGUGGUACGCGAGCUGGGUUCAGAACGUCGUGAGACAGUUCGGUCCCUAUCCGUCGCAGGCGUAGGAAAUUUGAGAAGACCUGUCCUUAGUACGAGAGGACCGGGAUGGACGUACCUCUGGUGUACCAGUUGUUCUGCCAAGGGCAUGGCUGGGUAGCUAUGUACGGAAUGGAUAAGCGCUGAAAGCAUCUAAGCGCGAAGCCAACUUCAAGAUAAGAUUUCCCACCGCAAGGGUAAGACCCCAGAAAGACUAUCUGGUUGAUAGGUCGAAGGUGUAAGUGCAGCAAUGUAUUUAGCUUAUCGAUACUAAUAGGUCGAGGACUUGACC